UACGAACUGUGCAAACGUUAUUCGGAAUUAUUGGGCGUAAAGGGUGCGUAGGCGGUUUGGUAAGUCUUGUGUGAAAUCUCCAGGCUCAACUUGGAGUCUGCACGAGAAACUGCCGGGCUUGAGUGUGGGAGAGGUGAGUGGAAUUCCUGGUGUAGCGGUGAAAUGCGUAGAUAUCAGGAGGAACACCUGUGGCGAAAGCGGCUCACUGGUCCACAACUGACGCUGAUGCACGAAAGCUAGGGGAGCAAACAGG
RNAcentral lists this ribosomal RNA (253 nucleotides) under uncultured bacterium. RNAcentral's name for it is "partial 16S ribosomal RNA". It matches the Rfam family "Bacterial small subunit ribosomal RNA", at positions 524 to 776 of the family's 1533-position model. The record is from RNAcentral.